AAAAAAAACGACGCUACACUAGGGGGUAACACCUGUGUGUUGAUGGUUGUCAAGUGGUAAAGAGUGGCCAAAAGAUGAUUGGUGUCCUCAUUUCUUCAACAAAUACUAUCUAACAAGCACUACGCCAUUAACGACAACGGUAACGAGUGACAUUGGGUAAUUUCUACGCAAAAUUUGUCAUAGGCCUCUUUUCUCAUUAUAACUUCGUUCAAAGGGAACUUGUCACAUACAAAGACAAAGAAAGCAAUGAAAGUAAUACCAUUUUAAAGAUUUAUUUAGGGAGAGGUCUGUGACCCACCAACAGACCCAACGGUUUUUGGGUAAAUCUCUAUCAAUAUGAUCAAGAUUUAUGAUUUGUUUAAAAUUCUAUGAAGUACAAUACGCUAUAUAAAUUAUAAAUCUAAAGAACGAAUAGUUUGUUGAAUGAAAUAGAAAAACCAUUCACUUAAAAGUCAAGUCUAUCUUUCUCUGUAAUCACCGUUAGUGGCAUAAAAUGUCGAGCAUUGUAGACAUGGUGGUCACAAUACAUAAGCUUUAUGCA
Molecule: long non-coding RNA, 541 nt
Organism: Xenia sp. Carnegie-2017
Lineage: Eukaryota; Metazoa; Cnidaria; Anthozoa; Malacalcyonacea; Xeniidae
Exons: 2
Source: RefSeq, a predicted model, not a curated record